RNAcentral lists this long non-coding RNA (1672 nucleotides) under Mytilus galloprovincialis (Mediterranean mussel). The record is from RNAcentral. Lineage: Eukaryota; Metazoa; Mollusca; Bivalvia; Mytilida; Mytilidae.
GGCCGUUGGUUUUAAUCUUUUUGAUUGUUUCAAAUUUUGUGAUAAAGGCACACGGACACUUUUCUAAGCUUACUACAUUUGUGGGUUUUGCUCAUUGUUGAAUGCCGGUCUACGUUGAAUUAUAGUUGUUCACUAUUUACGCUUUUUUAUUUUUGUUUUAUUGUACUGAUGUACUGUUUGUAUUACUGUCUCAUUGAAACACUACCUACACCGGAGCACCUCAGAUCACUCUCAAUUUUUGGUGGGGUUCGAGUUGCUUAGUCUUUAAUUUUCUAUAUUGUGUCUUGUGUACUAUUAUUUGUCUAUAUGUCUUUUCUUUUUUAGCCGGUUUAUUUUUCGAUCUAUGAGUUUGAAUGUCUUUCUGGUAUCUUUCGACCCUCUUCUACACCUACAUUUAUUCAAAUAUACUUUUUUUUUCAUUUCUAUAAAACAAAAACAAAUUAAUAAUGGUUUGAUUUUUGUAUUUUUCUCAUAAUUCUGACUUUGCCGUCAGUAUACAUAAAUAAUAAACAUUUACAGACCCGUCUCUUAAACUCGGGAGAAAAGCAAAUGAUAGAUUCUGUCUUUUUUACAUAAAACAAAACAUGCACAAAAUCUAUUGUGUAUACAUGAAAACUAUAGUGUAUACACGAAAAAACAAUAAUAUAUACAAAACAAAUGAUUGUAUAUAAUAAUAUCAUAUGAUCUUUUGUCUGAAAAUUUAUCAAGAAUUAAUUCCCAGUGGAGAAGAGUCUGAACACUAUUGAGUUGUGAGCCACAAUCUAGAUCCAAUUGCCAAUCUUAAAAUUAAUAUUAACGGAGUUUGAUAAAAUAAAAAAAGAACUUUAUAAACUAGAAAAGGUUUCUCAUGAUGUUUUUUGCUAAUAUAUGACAAUCUUGCAAAAAACAUAAAUAAACGGACACAGAAAAUACAAUUUUGAGAGGAAUCCGACUAGAAAAGGUUCUGUCCUUCUUGAAAGCUGUUGUCCGCGGUCACUUCAAAGGGUACAAUUAUCAGACGGUUAAAACUUUCCUGUUAGCACAUGCAAUAUAAAUACAGGUUAUCCCCACUAAGACAAAUUUUAAUAACUACAUGUACUAAAAGUAACACGAUUUUAAUCUUAAGCUGUAUUAAAACAAAGAAAUAAUAACAAUCCUCUUAUAGGUUCUCUGAAACUUCUUACGAUAACGUGGAAGAUAAAGACAUUUAUUUCUAUUUGUAUUCAUGCCCGAUUGGGAAAAGAAGGCCCGGAUCUAAAGAUGGUGUGAAAGGGCUCUAUAGGGACCCGGCUUGAAAAGGCGACUUCCAGCGUAAUUUUCAUUAGUCAGUUUUACAUGCCUACCACCCCCCCCCCAAAAAAAAAAAAACAACAAAAAAAACGAAUAUAACGGUUAAUACCCAUUUUGUCAGCUGGCCACGGUUUCCCACAAAAGAAGCCAAUCUAACAUGAUUUGUAUUAGGUUAAUCAGAUUUUACUUCAAUAAAUUUUGGUUAAUCUUGAUUAUCAAAAAAUAUAGUAAUUCAAAAGUUAAGUUUGUAUAAAGGAACAAAAAGGAACAAGGAAAGGUCAAUACUAUUUAAAAUAGUACAGUUCAACGAGGAUAUCUUGAAGGGUUAAAUGAGUCCAGACAAAAGAUCAUAUUUCAUAAACAAUUAUGGCAUACGAAAUGUACAUGCAAUAUUUUUAAAUGU